AAUGAACGUUGGCGGCAUGGAUUAGGCAUGCAAGUCGCGCGAUAAGAUUCCUUCGGGAAUCCGAAAGCGGCGAAAGGGAGAGUAACGCGUAGAUGAUCUACCCCGAGGACUGGGAUAGCGGCGGGAAACUGCCGGUAAUACCAGAUGAUGUCUCCGGACCAAAGGUGUGAUUCCGCCUUGGGAUGAAUCUGCGUCCUAUUAGCUAGUUGGUGAGGUAACGGCUCACCAAGGCGAAGUUGGGUACCGGGUGUGAGAGCAUGACCCGGCUCACUGGGACUGAGACACUGCCCAGACACCUACGGGUGGCUGCAGUCGAGAAUCUUCGGCAAUGGGCGAAAGCCUGACCGAGCAAUGCCGCGUGCGGGAUGAAGGCCUUCGGUCGUAAGACGUCUGU
RNAcentral lists this ribosomal RNA (394 nucleotides) under uncultured bacterium. RNAcentral's name for it is "bacterial SSU rRNA". It matches the Rfam family "Bacterial small subunit ribosomal RNA", at positions 29 to 437 of the family's 1533-position model. The record is from RNAcentral.